AUACGGGGGGUGCAAGCGUUAUUCGGAUUUAUUGGGCGUAAAGGGCGCGUAGGCGGCCUGGUAAGUCAGAUGUGAAAGCCCGGGGCUCAUCCCCGGAAGUGCAUUUGAAACUAUCAGGCUUGAGUAUGGGAGAGGGAAGUGGAAUUCCUGGUGUAGAGGUGAAAUUCGUAGAUAUCAGGAGGAACACCGGUGGCGAAGGCGACUUCCUGGACCAAUACUGACGCUGAGGCGCGAAGGCGUGGGGAGCAAACAGGAUUAGAAACCCUAGUAGUCC
RNAcentral lists this ribosomal RNA (274 nucleotides) under uncultured bacterium. RNAcentral describes it as "partial 16S ribosomal RNA". It matches the Rfam family "Bacterial small subunit ribosomal RNA", at positions 523 to 796 of the family's 1533-position model. The record is from RNAcentral.